UUAAGUUGAUCUCGUCACGGUUCUCUGUGCCUCCCGCAGGCGCCAGAGCUAAGAGGGAAUCCGGUGCGCCGCAAGGCAAUGCCGGAGCUGCCCCCGCAACUGUAAGCGGCGAGCCGAAGUCCACCACGCGUCACUGAGGCCUAUCGGCUUCGGGAAGGCCGGACGGAGGCGACGACCCGCGAGCCAGGAGACCUGCCGCGACGCCAUAUCGUCCU
This 215-nucleotide non-coding RNA is filed under the name Methylocella tundrae. Lineage: Bacteria; Pseudomonadati; Pseudomonadota; Alphaproteobacteria; Hyphomicrobiales; Beijerinckiaceae. The record is from RNAcentral.